Molecule: ribosomal RNA, 253 nt
Filed under: uncultured bacterium
Lineage: Bacteria
Description: partial 16S ribosomal RNA
Rfam family: Bacterial small subunit ribosomal RNA
Source: RNAcentral
UACGUAGGGGGCGAGCGUUGUCCGGAGUUACUGGGCGUAAAGGGCAUGCAGGCGGUCAGGCGCGUUUUGUGUGACAGCGGAGGGCUUAACUCUCCGAGGAUACGAAAGACGGCGUGACUUGAGAGCGCGAGAGGGACACGGAAUUCCGGGUGGAGUGGUGAAAUGCGUAGAGAUCCGGAGGAACACCGAAGGCGAAGGCAGUGUCCUGGCGUGCAUCUGACGCUGAGGUGCGAAAGCCAGGGGAGCGAACGGG